This 91-nucleotide transfer RNA is filed under the name Gammaproteobacteria bacterium. RNAcentral describes it as "tRNA-Ser". It matches the Rfam family "tRNA". Rfam says of the family: Transfer RNA (tRNA) molecules are approximately 80 nucleotides in length. Their secondary structure includes four short double-helical elements and three loops (D, anti-codon, and T loops). The record is from RNAcentral. Lineage: Bacteria; Pseudomonadati; Pseudomonadota; Gammaproteobacteria.
GGAGAGGUGCCGGAGCGGUUGAACGGGGCGGUCUCGAAAAUCGUUGUACUCUUAUGGGGUACCGUGGGUUCGAAUCCCACCCUCUCCGCCA